UACAGAGGUCUCAAGCGUUGUUCGGAUUCAUUGGGCGUAAAGGGUGCGUAGGCGGCGCGGUAAGUCGGGUGUGAAAUUUCGAGGCUUAACUUCGAAACUGCAUUCGAUACUGCCGUGCUUGAGGACUGGAGAGGAGACUGGAAUUUACGGUGUAGCGGUGAAAUGCGUAGAUAUCGUAAGGAAGACCAGUGGCGAAGGCGGGUCUCUGGACAGUUCCUGACGCUGAGGCGCGAAAGCGUGGGGAGCAAACAGG
RNAcentral lists this ribosomal RNA (253 nucleotides) under uncultured bacterium. Its description in RNAcentral is "partial 16S ribosomal RNA". It matches the Rfam family "Bacterial small subunit ribosomal RNA", at positions 524 to 776 of the family's 1533-position model. The record is from RNAcentral.